GACGAACGCUGGCGGCGUGCUUAACUCAUGCAAGUCGAACGGAAAGGCCCUGCUUUUGUGGGGUGCUCGAGUGGCGAACGGGUGAGUAACACGUGAGUCACCUGCCCUUGACUUUGGGAUAACUUCAGGAAACUGGGGCUAAUACCGGAUAGGAGCUCCUGCUGCAUGGUGUGGGUUGGAAUGUUUCGGCGGUUGGGGAUGGACUCGCGGCUUAUCAGCUUGUUGGUGGGGUAGUGGCUUACCAAGGCUUUGACGGGUAGCCGGCCUGAGAGGGUGACCGGCCACAUUGGGACUGAGAUACGGCCCAGACUCCUACGGGAGGCAGCAGUGGGGAAUAUUGCACAAUGGGCGGAAGCCUGAUGCAGCAACGCCGCGUGCGGGAUGACGGCCUUCGGGUUGUAAACCGCUUUCGCCUGUGACGAAGCGUGAGUGGCGGUAAUGGGUAAAGGAGCACCGGCUAACUACGUG
RNAcentral lists this ribosomal RNA (468 nucleotides) under uncultured bacterium. Its description in RNAcentral is "partial 16S ribosomal RNA". It matches the Rfam family "Bacterial small subunit ribosomal RNA", at positions 28 to 507 of the family's 1533-position model. The record is from RNAcentral.